AUUGAACGCUGGCGGCAGGCUUAACACAUGCAAGUCGAGCGGGGUGAUGGUGCUUGCACUAUCACUUAGCGGCGGACGGGUGAGUAAUGCUUAGGAAUCUGCCUAUUAGUGGGGACAACAUCUCGAAAGGGAUGCUAAUACCGCAUACGUCCUACGGGAGAAAGCAGGGGAUCACUUGUGACCUUGCGCUAAUAGAUGAGCCUAAGUCGGAUUAGCUAGUUGGUGGGGGAAAGGCCUACCAAGGCGACGAUCUGUAGCGGGUGUGAGAGGAUGAUCAGCCACACUGGGACGGAGAAACGGACCAGAGUCCUACGGGAGGCAGCAGUGGGGAAUAUUGGAAAAUGGGGGGAACCCUGAUCCAGCCACGCCGCGUGUGUGAAGAAGGCCUUAUGGUUGUAAAGCACUUUAAGCGAGGAGGAGGCUCUUUUGGUUAAUACCCAAGAUGAGUGGACGUUACUCGCAGAAUAAGCACCGGCUAACUCUGUGCCAGCCGCCGCCGUAA
RNAcentral lists this ribosomal RNA (502 nucleotides) under uncultured bacterium. RNAcentral's name for it is "partial 16S ribosomal RNA". It matches the Rfam family "Bacterial small subunit ribosomal RNA", at positions 30 to 523 of the family's 1533-position model. The record is from RNAcentral.